This 73-nucleotide transfer RNA is filed under the name bacterium. RNAcentral describes it as "tRNA-Val". It matches the Rfam family "tRNA". Rfam says of the family: Transfer RNA (tRNA) molecules are approximately 80 nucleotides in length. Their secondary structure includes four short double-helical elements and three loops (D, anti-codon, and T loops). The record is from RNAcentral.
GGGCGGUUGGCUCAGUGGUUAGAGCACCUGCCUUACAAGCAGGGGGUCAGAGGUUCGAAUCCUCUACCGCCCA